Molecule: long non-coding RNA, 1059 nt
Filed under: Homo sapiens (human)
Lineage: Eukaryota; Metazoa; Chordata; Mammalia; Primates; Hominidae
Description: HSALNT0077280
Source: RNAcentral
CCAGGGUAUUUGUAAAUAUAGAGGAACGAGCCCAAGGGAAGGAACUGGAGAGGAGAGGAGGGAGAAGAGAUGACUCUGAAAGCAAAGUUACACACCUUUCACCACAACACUUAGGAGAAAAAAAUUUGCUCUAUAGUUUCCAUUAAGUUUGAACGUGCAGGCAGGAAAGUAUCUUCAGGUGAGAGUAUUUAAAGAGGAACUGCUGCGUUCCUCCUACACUUUUAGAAGAUUUCUUCAGGCUAACUGUGCAAAGCUCAAAACGUGUUGAAAGCUGCAACCAACAAAGGUUAAGGGUUUUUUUUUUUUUUUUUGAGAGAGCAAUAUAAAAUCUAGAGAGGUUCAGUUUAGGCAUCUAUCCCAGAAUGUAAAUGUCUUUCUUUGGUGAUACAGAAACAAAUACAGCCCAGUGUUUUGAAGAUUUUACGUUCAUAGUUGGAAUAUUUAAGGUCCCAGAUAAUAAUUAGGAAAACAAAUCAGGACCGAAACUCCAGAGAGUCUGAAAUUGGCUGACCAUGGAACACCUAACCCGAAAAUAUGCAUAUCCCUUUCAGAGGGCAAAAGCACUUUUGAAGUGGCCUCCGAUGCGAAGGUGAGAUCAGAAAUACGCCUGUGGAACCCUCUACAUGCGGAUCUGGCAAGCAUUCAACACAAACGCAAUUAGAGGGCUUACCCUUGCAUGAAAUAUUUGCUUUCCUGAUAGUCACUAACUUUAAACUUUAGGAAUGCCAGGGCAUAGUGUUUCUGUAUCAGAACUAGAAUCCUCUACUUCACUUUCUUCAGCUAUUAUUUUUGAAGUUUGCAUAUCGUAUUAAAGUCCCACCAAACAAUAAAUAGGAAAGCAUGAUUUUAUUAAAAUCCUCUUGAGACAACCGCAUCUGCCCUGGCUAUUCUUUGAUCAGGGUCUGAGAGGUUGCAGCAUGCACACUCACCCAGAGGUACUUGAGAGCAUUGUUCACGUAUUCAAUGAAUAUUGAAUGCUAGAGUGAAUCUACACUGGGCUUAGAUCAGCAUAAAUCUCCACAACUCACCUUCAAUGGUGGACACAGGCAACUAACCAGG